Molecule: long non-coding RNA, 539 nt
Organism: Octopus bimaculoides (California two-spot octopus)
Lineage: Eukaryota; Metazoa; Mollusca; Cephalopoda; Octopoda; Octopodidae
Source: RefSeq, a predicted model, not a curated record
CCAACUUACCUAUUCCAAGUCCAACAGGAGUACUGUGGCGCAGUUCCUCGUCUUCAUCGUCCAUCUCUUCAAGCCGUACGAAUUCCGCUGCCAGUUCCAGCAGAAGUAGCCUCAGUGAUAGAGAGGCAAAGAAAUUAGCGUUAGUCACAGUUGGCACUGAAAUAGACGAACGUUUAAGCGAAGAUUCUUCUCCCGAGAAGUUAAGCGCUUCAUCCGUGAUUAGCAGCAGUGUAUCUUCACCAUCAACCAGUCACAGCAGUGAGGCUCGAUCUAGGAGGGUGGCAUCAGUUCGAACCAAGUCGACUUCAUCUAGUGAAUUAGUGGUUACUGGAUCAGGACACAGCAGUGUAUCGGGACAUUAAGCAGAGAAAUGAAAUGACUCCCUUCUACAGAAAUAUUCGUAAUGGGAGGCAGUUCAACUGAAAAUGUGCUGGAAUAUUGUGAAUUUUGUUUUAUUCAAUUUACUUUUCCUUCUUUUCAUGUAUACCAAAUUCUAAUUCUAUGUAUUGAAAAAAAAUAAAGUUUAAUAAUUAACGUUA